RNAcentral lists this ribosomal RNA (312 nucleotides) under Triticum aestivum (bread wheat). Its description in RNAcentral is "partial small subunit ribosomal RNA". The record is from RNAcentral. Lineage: Eukaryota; Viridiplantae; Streptophyta; Magnoliopsida; Poales; Poaceae.
AUGUUGAUGAUUUCUAUCUGCACCCAGAAUCUUUGCGUGAAAAAUUCUUACCGAAAGAGAUGUUUUCAACUAAUACCACGACACUUAUUUUGGAAUGGAGGGAGUAGUUUUUUUUAUCAUUUUAAAGCUUAUCCAACUACACAUCAUUUAAUGCCUAGGAAAGAAGUGGAUGCACAGAAGCUUGAGGCACGCCGAACAAUGAGGAGGACGAGGAAAGAGAGAGUGGGGUCCGUGGAGGAUAUGUACGCGCUACGUGUUGGCCGGAUGGAAGUGAAGGCCGAAGGAGAAGGCUGGCACUGGACAUCUUUUUGA